Oncorhynchus keta (chum salmon) is the source of this 740-nucleotide long non-coding RNA. RefSeq lists it as uncharacterized. The transcript is spliced from 3 exons. The record is from RefSeq and is a predicted model, not a curated record. Lineage: Eukaryota; Metazoa; Chordata; Actinopteri; Salmoniformes; Salmonidae.
AAAUAUCCUUUCCAUUUUAUUCAGCUUUGUUCAAUUGUAUUCUUCCUACUAUAAAAUAAUGCCAUGGAAUCUAACCAAAUCUUAUCUGCUCAAUGAACUAUAGUGUAGCCCACAGCCAUAUGGCAUAGCAUAACAUAAGAGUACGCUAUUCUGUUCUUCUGAAAUAGGCUACAUUUUCUUCAUAUCAUGUUUCUUUAGACCUGUCUAAAAUAUAUAAUGGAUUCAUUGUGAAAGUGUAGGCUGUAUUAGAUGGAUUCAUUGUGACGGUGUAGGCUAUAUUACUUGGAUUCAUUGUGACGGUGUAGGCUAUAUUACAUGGAUUGAUUGUGAAGGUGUAGGCUAUAUUACAUGGAUUGAUUGUGAAGGUGUAGGCUAUAUUACAUGGAUUGAUUGUGAAGGUGUAGGCUAUAUUACAUGGAUUGAUUGUGAAGGUGUAGGCUAUAUUACAUGGAUUGAUUGUGAAGGUGUAGGCUAUAUUACAUGGAUUGAUUGUGAAGGUGUAGGCUAUAUUACAUGGAUUGAUUGUGAAGGUGUAGGCUAUAUUACAUGGAUUGAUUGUGAAGGUGUAGGCUAUAUUACAUGGAUUGAUUGUGAAGGUGUAGGCUAUAUUACAUGGAUUGAUUGUGAAGGUGUAGGCUAUAUUACAUGGAUUGAUUGUGAAGGUGUAGGCUAUAUUACAUGGAUUGAUUGUGAAGGUGUAGGCUAUAUUACAUGGAUUGAUUGUGAUGGUGUAGGCUAUA